This is a non-coding RNA of Xyrichtys novacula (pearly razorfish), 1333 nucleotides long. The record is from the annotation of a GenBank genome assembly. NCBI's taxonomy places the organism in Eukaryota, Metazoa, Chordata, Actinopteri, Labriformes, Labridae.
AAUGAGUCAUGUAACAUCUGUGUACCUUCUUAAAAAUGGUUGCAAGUUUACUUGUUAUUGCACUGCAGAUAAGAUGAAUAGCUUUGAUCAUGUCCCUUAAGACAAUAGUGUCAGAGAGCUGAAUAGCACCUAUGUUACCUUUUUCUUCUUCUACACCGGCAGGCUACAAGCUAAAUCGAGGAGAAGUGUGCAGAGCAGCGUUGCCUUCGCCCAUGACCCAGAGGUGAAUUGCUAAUGAUCUACUAGAGCUCUGCAGAAGAAAAGCCCUUGAAAAUGAAACAGGUAAUGUGAUUUUGGCUAAAAAAAAAACUUCAUAAUCACUUUAAAGACCACUGAUAACAUUUUAAGUAGUAAAAAAGCACAAUUGGAGUGGGUUUCUAAGUGUAUCUAACUGGAGUGUGCAAACAAGGAAUUAUUAAUAGUUCACAUAAAUGAUAAACCUGAAUUGUAUCUACACACCUUAUGAUUGACUGGGAAUCAGUUCAGAGGUCAGAAGUUCAUCUAUCAGACUCUACUGUCAAGAUAAUUGACACCUUAGUGAGGCAGCUAGGCCACUACUGUUGGCCCACUAGUGGCAUAUACCAGCCAUGACAUGCUGCUAAAUGCUGGCACAUGUAGCAGCACAUAGUGUAGUGUACUAUCAGCCACUUUCAGUCCAAGUACUGCUGGGAUGUCACAGGAAAAACCUUUGAUGAACAGCCUUGUAUGUAAUAUCAUGCAGAAUAAUACAUGAAUGAGUGCUUUUAAGUGCAUUAAAGGGCAUGUGUUCUUCUUGUAUGCACCCUAAUGAGAGGCUUUUUAGCUUAUAGAUAUGAUGUUUAUUUAAAUACUCAAGGUGUUAUCAUGCUUUCUGUUCUAUUCAUAAUUAUGCAGUGGCAACUACUCCGUGUAUUUAGAAUCAGCAGUGUAAAACAUGCAGACCACCUGUGCUGUAAAUGUCGACUGCACAAGUGCUGAUGAGCUAAAUAUAAAAUAAUCACAUCCUAAUAAGAAUCAAACAGAUGUCAGCGUUAUGAAACAUAAUGUGGGGAAUUAUUUUCAAGGAGCGAUGCUGAGAGGUUGUUUAUCCCGGUCUUUUCUUUCCUUCCUGUCCCUCCGUUUGGCUUAUUUACCUGUUUUAGCUGCCAUAAGGCGAGUGGAUUAGUAGCAGCCCCAGGGGAAGUUGUUCACUUUACCGAGGACUUGAGGGGGACCGGGCUGAUGUUAUCAUUCCCUCUGAAGUCGGUGCUAUCUCUUUGAACACACUUUAUCUUCACAUCUCUGUACUCGCCUGCAAAUGGAGCAACACACAGGGGCUGCUUUGAAAUGAAUUAGCUGUAGGAAGGUGCCCCAG